RNAcentral lists this ribosomal RNA (427 nucleotides) under uncultured bacterium. RNAcentral describes it as "bacterial SSU rRNA". It matches the Rfam family "Bacterial small subunit ribosomal RNA", at positions 355 to 774 of the family's 1533-position model. The record is from RNAcentral.
UGGGGAAUAUUGGACAAUGGGGGAAACCCUGAUCCAGCCAUGCCGCGUGUGUGAAGAAGGCCUUCGGGUUGUAAAGCACUUUAAGCGAGGAGGAAGGUUCGUUGGUUAAUAACCAGCGGAAUUGACGUUACUCGCAGAAUAAGCACCGGCUAACUCUGUGCCAGCAGCCGCGGUAAUACAGAGGGUGCAAGCGUUAAUCGGAAUUACUGGGCGUAAAGCGCGCGUAGGCGGUUGUGUAAGUUGGAGGUGAAAUCCCCGGGCUUAACCUGGGCACUGCCGUAAAAACUGCACGGCUAGAGUAUGGGAGAGGAAGGUAGAAUUCCAGGUGUAGCGGUGAAAUGCGUAGAGAUCUGGAGGAAUACCGAUGGCGAAGGCAGCCUUCUGGCCUAAUACUGACGCUGAGGUGCGAAAGCAUGGGGAGCAAACA